RNAcentral lists this ribosomal RNA (449 nucleotides) under uncultured bacterium. Its description in RNAcentral is "partial 16S ribosomal RNA". It matches the Rfam family "Bacterial small subunit ribosomal RNA", at positions 29 to 523 of the family's 1533-position model. The record is from RNAcentral.
AACGAACGCCGGCGGCAGGCUUAACACAUGCAAGUCGAACGCAUCCUUCGGGGUGAGUGGCAGACGGGUGAGUAACGCGUGGGAACGUGCCCUUCAGUUCGGGAUAACCCAGGGAAACUUGGGCUAAUACCGGAUACGUGCGAGAGCAGAAAGACUUAUCGCUGAAGGAUCGGCCCGCGUCUGAUUAGCUAGUUGGUGAGGUAAUGGCUCACCAAGGCGACGAUCAGUAGCUGGUCUGAGAGGAUGAUCAGCCACACUGGGACUGAGACACGGCCCAGACUCCUACGGGAGGCAGCAGUGGGGAAUAUUGGACAAUGGGCGCAAGCCUGAUCCAGCCAUGCCGCGUGAGUGAUGAAGGCCUUAGGGUUGUAAAGCUCUUUCGGCGGGGACGAUAAUGACGGUACCCGCAGAAGAAGCCCCGGCUAACUUCGUGCCAGCAGCCGCGGUAA